CCUACGGGAGGCAGCAGUGAGGAAUAUUGGUCAAUGGGCGCGAGCCUGAACCAGCCAAGUAGCGUGAAGGAUGACUGCCCUACGGGUUGUAAACUUCUGUUAUAAAGGAAUAAAGUGAGGCACGUGUGCCUUUUUGUAUGUCCUUUAUGAAUAAGGAUCGGCUAACUACGUGCCAGCAGCCGCGGUAAUACGGAGGAUCCGAGCGGUAUCCGGAUUUAUUGGGUUGAAAGGGAGCGUAGAUGGGUUGUUAAGUAAGUUGUGAAAGUUUGCGGCUCAACCGUAAAAUUGCAAUUGAUACUGGGAGUCUUGAGUACAGGUGAGGUAAGCGGAAUUCGUGGUGUAGCGGUGAAAUGCGUAGAUAUUACGAAGAACACCGAUGGCGAAGGCAGCUUACUAAACUGCCACUGACAUUGAGGCGCGAAAGUGUGGGUAUCAAACAGGAUUAGAUACCCCUGUAGUC
RNAcentral lists this ribosomal RNA (460 nucleotides) under uncultured bacterium. Its description in RNAcentral is "partial 16S ribosomal RNA". It matches the Rfam family "Bacterial small subunit ribosomal RNA", at positions 338 to 795 of the family's 1533-position model. The record is from RNAcentral.